RNAcentral lists this unclassified non-coding RNA (20 nucleotides) under Chlamydomonas reinhardtii. RNAcentral describes it as "small RNA Cre_1108". The record is from RNAcentral. Lineage: Eukaryota; Viridiplantae; Chlorophyta; Chlorophyceae; Chlamydomonadales; Chlamydomonadaceae.
CCGGAGGAGGCGGCGGGCGC